This 548-nucleotide long non-coding RNA is filed under the name Citrus maxima (pomelo). RNAcentral describes it as "long non-coding RNA (CMAX_LNC002712)". Lineage: Eukaryota; Viridiplantae; Streptophyta; Magnoliopsida; Sapindales; Rutaceae. The record is from RNAcentral.
AAAGACCAACCCUAAUUUUACACUUCACAUGCACUUUUCCCUUAUCUCCUGACAACUCAGCCGCUACUGCUACAUUUUGCCAUCUCUUUCCCUUAAUUUCCAUCUCCAAAUCCUUUUCUUUUUCUUUUUAAUUUUUGCAUCCAGCAAGUACUACGUUUUGCCACUGCUCCAAAUCCUUGGAUUUGUGUGAGUGUGAUAAGUAAAGUUUUGUCUUGUUUAAUUAUUAUUUCCUUAAAAAUAUUACAAAUUUACUAUAUAUUUGAUAUUUUAAAAUUUUACAAUGAUUAUUAUCAAUAUUGCAGCAUGUUAAAUUGUUAAUAAUAUUUUAUUUAUUUUUUGGUGUAGGAUUUUUGUUUUUCAAGGUGGAAAAGACAAAUGAAGAGAAUUAAAGAAAUUACCUUACUUUAUAAUUUGAAUUUGAAUUAUUGUUAUUUGUAUUAUUAGAGAUUUGUAAUUUGGUAUUUAGAUGACUUCAUAAUAUGGUUUGAGUUAUUUGUAUUUUGUUGUGGUAUGUUAAACUUGUGAUUUUUUUAUAUUUUAUUUUGCUU